CUGGCCCUGAAUCAAGGGUGGCAGCUUCCUGACGCUGUUGGUUUCAAGCAGGAGCCUAAAGAGAUGUCUUUCUAUGGUCUGUUGGUCAUUUCAGAACUUGGGCAGUGAAAUGGUCAACUCACUAGAAAGAAGCACCC
Small nucleolar RNA from Cavia aperea (Brazilian guinea pig), 137 nucleotides. The record is from Ensembl. NCBI's taxonomy places the organism in Eukaryota, Metazoa, Chordata, Mammalia, Rodentia, Caviidae.